AAUCAAAUAAUAAAAGACUCAACAAAGACUCAAUAUGUGAACUAAUAUUUUUCAAUGAGAUGUAUAUUCUUGAGCUUGGUCUUCGUAUAUAUAAUGAUUAGGCACGCUCCUCUUUCUUCACAAAUGCUCAGACGCUCCUUGAGAAUCAUAAAGGAUGAUCUGAUACUUUUUCAAUCUUCAUUAAGGAUAUAUCAAGACUUUCCAAAAGUGUUUAAAGGGCUUUAUAUGAUAGGAUAAGUCAUCCAGCU
RNAcentral lists this long non-coding RNA (248 nucleotides) under Trifolium pratense (red clover). RNAcentral's name for it is "long non-coding RNA (TPRA_LNC011222)". The record is from RNAcentral. Lineage: Eukaryota; Viridiplantae; Streptophyta; Magnoliopsida; Fabales; Fabaceae.